Molecule: ribosomal RNA, 690 nt
Filed under: Tetragnatha nitens
Lineage: Eukaryota; Metazoa; Arthropoda; Arachnida; Araneae; Tetragnathidae
Description: 12S ribosomal RNA
Source: RNAcentral
UAUUAAUAUUAGAUUAAAAAAUAAUUUUUUACCUUUAAGAUUUAAAUAAAAUAAAACUUUUUAAUUUUAAUCCCUUAAAUGUAGAAAAUUGGAUUAAUUUAUAAUUAAUUAAAUUAAAGUGCCAGCAAUUGCGGUUACUCUUAAAAUUAAAUUAUUUUUUUAUCAAUUAUAUAUUAAUUAAAAUUAUAUUAAAUUAUUUUAAGUAAAAUUUUAUAAUUUAACAUAAUUUUUAAAAAAAUAAUCUAAAUUUUAGUUUUAAAAAAGGAUUAGAUACCCUUUUAUUCUAAUUAUAUAAUAGGUAGUAUACUUUGUAAAAACCAUAAUACUAUGGUGGCAUUUUAUUUUAUUAGAGGAACAUGUUUAUUAAUCGACAUUACACGAUUAUUUUUACUUUUUUAUAAAUUUUAUAUACCUCCGUCCAGAAUAAAUUUUUAAUAUUUUAUUCAAAAUAAUAUUAUAAUAAUUUAGGUAAAGGUGUAGACUUUAAAUUAGUUUAAAUGUGUUACAUUAAAAAUUAUUUAAGAAUUAUUUUUUAUAACAAUAUAUGAAAGGGGAUUUAUAAGUAUUUUUUAAUUAAAAUUUUAACUUGAAUUAAAAAAUAAAUGUGCACAUAUCGCCCGUCACCUUUAUCUAAAGAUAAAGUAAGUCGUAACAAAGUUAAUGUUCUAGAAAGAGCAUUUUGAAAUUCCU